CAGGUGCCUGUGCCUUUAUCACCGCUCAACCUCCCUGCCAGCCUUGUCCCUGUCGCAUGGCGCAAGCGCCCUUCACAACCGCUGCCCGCAUCUCCCAGGCUUCGUUCUUCCGCCAUUUCUUCCUCUGGGGUUGAGAGCAUCUAGCUGCUCCUCAUUCUCGGGAAGUUGAAAAACAAGAUCAGAAGAGAAAACACUAAGCAGAACCUGGACUGGAGUUGGUGUAUUGCACCAAAGGAAAAUUCUCUGGAGUGUGUAUGUGGGGGGGGGACAGUACAGGUCCUGGAAAAGGAUGACAGAGGGCCUAGUGGGAGUUGUAUUGUUAUGUGGAAAACUGAGAGAUGUUAUGCAUGUACAAACUAUCAUAUUUAAUGUCAAAUGUAAAACAUUAAUCCCCCAAUAAA
Long non-coding RNA from Erinaceus europaeus (western European hedgehog), 401 nucleotides. RefSeq lists it as uncharacterized. NCBI's taxonomy places the organism in Eukaryota, Metazoa, Chordata, Mammalia, Eulipotyphla, Erinaceidae. The transcript has 2 exons. The record is from RefSeq and is a predicted model, not a curated record.